RNAcentral lists this ribosomal RNA (779 nucleotides) under uncultured bacterium. RNAcentral describes it as "bacterial SSU rRNA". It matches the Rfam family "Bacterial small subunit ribosomal RNA", at positions 723 to 1504 of the family's 1533-position model. The record is from RNAcentral.
GACUGACUGGCUCGAUACUGACACUGAGGUGCGAAAGCGUGGGGAGCAAACGGGAUUAGAUACCCCGGUAGUCACGCCGUAAACGAUGUCUACUAGCCGUUGGAGGACUUGAUCCUUUAGUGGCGCAGCUAACGCGAUAAGUAGACCGCCUGGGGAGUACGGUCGCAAGAUUAAAACUCAAAUGAAUUGACGGGGGCCCGCACAAGCGGUGGAGCAUGUGGUUUAAUUCGAAGCAACGCGAAGAACCUUACCUACUCUUGACAUCCAGUGAACUUUUGAGAGAUCAAUUGGUGCCUUCGGGAACACUGAGACAGGUGCUGCAUGGCUGUCGUCAGCUCGUGUUGUGAAAUGUUGGGUUAAGUCCCGUAACGAGCGCAACCCUUGUCCUUAGUUACCAUCAUUAAGUUGGGGACUCUAAGGAGACUGCCGGUGACAAACCGGAGGAAGGCGGGGACGACGUCAAGUCAUCAUGGCCCUUACGAGUAGGGCUACACACGUGCUACAAUGGCAUGUACAAAGGGUUGCCAAGCCGCGAGGUGGAGCUAAUCCCAUAAAGCAUGUCGUAGUCCGGAUUGGAGUCUGCAACUCGACUCCAUGAAGUCGGAAUCGCUAGUAAUCGUGAAUCAGAAUGUCACGGUGAAUACGUUCCCGGGCCUUGUACACACCGCCCGUCACACCAUGGGAGUGGGUUGCUCCAGAAGUAGAUAGCUUAACCUUCGGGAGGGCGUUUACCACGGAGUGAUUCAUGACUGGGGUGAAGUCGUAACAAGGUAGCCGUA